AUGCCACGACCACGGCGGUGGCGAUGUCCGGCCUCGGCUACAACUUGCACAGGAUUUGGCCUCUGGAUGGAUGUUAUGGUUCAUGUGAUGUUACUCUGCUGGCUGUCAUCGGGAACAUGCCAUUGCUUUUGCUGUACCUCACCCAAGAUCACCCAUGACUCCCAGCUCGAGUCCUUGGAGCCUUGCUCCAGCGUCAAUGAAAGGAUCCAGUACAGUAGGGGGGAAGGGGUUUCUCGUGCCAGGCACCUUGGCAUCUUUUGCUGUGCCGUGGUGCUGUUUGGCAUUGGCCACAAUAGCUACAGCGAGCUCCUUUGCUUCCUCUGCUCGCCUCUUAUUGCUCUGAUAGAUGGUUACAAUUUGGUUAGCAAGGUGUUGUAG
RNAcentral lists this ribosomal RNA (378 nucleotides) under Triticum aestivum (bread wheat). Its description in RNAcentral is "partial small subunit ribosomal RNA". Lineage: Eukaryota; Viridiplantae; Streptophyta; Magnoliopsida; Poales; Poaceae. The record is from RNAcentral.